This 301-nucleotide ribosomal RNA is filed under the name uncultured bacterium. Its description in RNAcentral is "partial 16S ribosomal RNA". It matches the Rfam family "Bacterial small subunit ribosomal RNA", at positions 509 to 807 of the family's 1533-position model. The record is from RNAcentral.
CAGUCGCCGCGGUAAUACGUAGGUGGCAAGCGUUGUCCGGAAUUAUUGGGCGUAAAGCGCGCGCAGGUGGUUUAAUAAGUCUGAUGUGAAAGCCCACGGCUCAACCGUGGAGGGUCAUUGGAAACUGUUAAACUUGAGUGCAGGAGAGAAAAGUGGAAUUCCUAGUGUAGCGGUGAAAUGCGUAGAGAUUAGGAGGAACACCAGUGGCGAAGGCGGCUUCUUGGCCUGUAACUGACACUGAGGCGCGAAAGCGUGGGGAGCAAACAGGAUUAGAUACCCCAGUAGUCCCUGUCUCUUAUAC